This 120-nucleotide ribosomal RNA is filed under the name uncultured bacterium. RNAcentral describes it as "partial 16S ribosomal RNA". It matches the Rfam family "Bacterial small subunit ribosomal RNA", at positions 215 to 334 of the family's 1533-position model. The record is from RNAcentral.
GCGCUAUUGGAUGAGCCUACGUCGGAUUAGCUUGUUGGUGAGGUAAAGGCUCACCAAGGCGACGAUCCGUAGCUGGUCUGAGAGGACGAUCAGCCACACUGGGACUGAGACACGGCCCAG